GAACAGACGGAAACGACUGCUAAUACCGAAUAAGUUCCAAGAGCCGCAUGGCCCAUGGAAGAAAAGGUGGCCUCUACCUGUAAGCUAUCGCCUGAAGAGGGGUUUGCGUCUGAUUAGCUGGUUGGAGGGGUAACGGCCCACCAAGGCGACGAUCAGUAGCCGGUCUGAGAGGAUGAACGGCCACACUGGAACUGAGACACGGUCCAGACUCCUACGGGAGGCAGCAUG
This 228-nucleotide ribosomal RNA is filed under the name uncultured bacterium. Its description in RNAcentral is "partial 16S ribosomal RNA". It matches the Rfam family "Bacterial small subunit ribosomal RNA", at positions 144 to 353 of the family's 1533-position model. The record is from RNAcentral.